UACGUAGGGGGCAAGCGUUGUCCGGAAUCAUUGGGCGUAAAGAGCGUGUAGGCGGUCCGGUAAGUCCGCUGUGAAAGUCGGGGGCUCAACCCUCGAAUGCCGGUGGAUACUGUCGGGCUAGAGUGCGGAAGAGGCGAGUGGAAUUCCUGGUUUAGCGGUGAAAUGCGCAGAUAUCAGGAGGAACACCUAUUGCGAAGGCAGCUCGCUGGGACGUUACUGACGCUGAGACGCGAAAGCGUGGGGAGCAAACAGG
This 253-nucleotide ribosomal RNA is filed under the name uncultured bacterium. RNAcentral's name for it is "partial 16S ribosomal RNA". It matches the Rfam family "Bacterial small subunit ribosomal RNA", at positions 524 to 776 of the family's 1533-position model. The record is from RNAcentral.